GAUGAACGCUGGCGGCGUGCCUAAUACAUGCAAGUCGAGCGAACAGGCGAGGAGCUUGCUCCUCUGACGUUAGCGGCGGACGGGUGAGUAACACGUGGAUAACCUACCUAUAAGACUGGGAUAACUUCGGGAAACCGGAGCUAAUACCGGAUAAUAUAUUGAACCGCAUGGUUCAAUAGUGAAAGACGGUUUUGCUGUCACUUAUAGAUGGAUCCGCGCCGCAUUAGCUAGUUGGUAAGGUAACGGCUUACCAAGGCAACGAUGUGUAGCCGACCUGAGAGGGUGAUCGGCCACACUGGAACUGAGACACGGUCCAGACUCCUACGGGAGGCAGCAGUAGGGAAUCUUCCGCAAUGGGCGAAAGCUUGACGGAGCAACGCCGCGUGAGUGAUGAAGGUCUUCGGAUCGUAAAACUCUGUUAUUAGGGAAGAACAAAUGUGUAAGUAACUAUGCACGUCUUGACGGAACCUAAUCAGAAAGCCACGGCUAACUACGUG
This 497-nucleotide ribosomal RNA is filed under the name uncultured bacterium. Its description in RNAcentral is "partial 16S ribosomal RNA". It matches the Rfam family "Bacterial small subunit ribosomal RNA", at positions 28 to 507 of the family's 1533-position model. The record is from RNAcentral.